AUUAUUGCAACAUUUGGGAAAACCUCAUCAAAGCUCGACCAGAUUGGACGUGUUAAUUCAAACACCAGUUGAAGCCAAACUACAUGCUCAUAUACAAGUGCAAAAUCUUAUGGAUACAAUGGCUUUUCAGGUUUCAAACAGCCUUUAGCAGCAUGCUGCAGAUAUGGUGGGCUGCCUUAAAUUACAACAGCCGCAGAUUGCUCACCGGGAAACCAAGAAUUUGAAUUGCAGCACAGUGACUGCAAAUCGCUGCAACAAUACUACUGAAUACGUGAAUUGGGGUGGAAAACAUUAUGGCAAAUGCGAAGAUCACAAAAAUUCAUAAGAAG
This 329-nucleotide unclassified non-coding RNA is filed under the name Hevea brasiliensis (rubber tree). The record is from RNAcentral. Lineage: Eukaryota; Viridiplantae; Streptophyta; Magnoliopsida; Malpighiales; Euphorbiaceae.